RNAcentral lists this ribosomal RNA (253 nucleotides) under uncultured bacterium. RNAcentral describes it as "partial 16S ribosomal RNA". It matches the Rfam family "Bacterial small subunit ribosomal RNA", at positions 524 to 776 of the family's 1533-position model. The record is from RNAcentral.
GACAGAGGAGGCAAGUGUUGUUCGGAAUCAUUGGGCUUAAAGCGCGCGUAGGCGGCCUUGUAAGUGUCUUGUGAAAUCCCACGGCCCACCCGUGGAACUGCAGGGCAAACUGCAAGACUUGAGGUCGGUAGAGGCGCCUGGAACUCUAGGUGGAGCGGUGAAAUGCGUAGAUAUCUAGGGGAACGCCGGAGGCGAAAGCGGGGCGCUGGGCCGAUUCUGACGCGGAUGCGCGAAAGCGUGGGGAGCAAACAGG